Nothoprocta perdicaria is the source of this 769-nucleotide long non-coding RNA. RefSeq lists it as uncharacterized. The record is from RefSeq and is a predicted model, not a curated record. Lineage: Eukaryota; Metazoa; Chordata; Aves; Tinamiformes; Tinamidae. The transcript is spliced from 3 exons.
UGGUGCAUAGAUGUGUAUGAUUUGGAGAAAAAGUGUGGUGUGACUUUGUGCAUUUUAAGUAUUUGCUCUGCAUUACUGUUCCAUGUUUGCAAGAGUAAACUGGGAGUAUUUUCAAGUGAAUACUUGUGCAAGUAUAUCAGAGGUGUGCUUCUCACUGCUGCUGGAAAGAUGAGCUGUGUUUGCCUGCCUCAUCUGGAGAAGCUCAGCACUAAAAUUCAUUUCAUCAAACAUUCCUCUCUUCCCGACUGUGGAAGAAUCUCUUUUGAAGUCAACAUAAACUAUACAUCAAAACUCUUCAGUGGAGAGACUCAAUCAGCAGUCAGAGGCAAUUAAUUGAUUUCAGAAAGUGCACAAAAGCGCUGGCAUACCCAAUCUGAGUAGUUCUGUGCAACAGGAUGAUGUUUUUGAAAUUCUGCUGAAGCUGAGUCCAGGCCUGAGGUCUUCAGAUUUCAUCAGCUGUUUGGAAAUUAACUGGUUGAAAAUCUUGAAAUCUUGUCUAGGGCAAGCUGUUGAAAUGAUCCUAGGUGAGGGAUGCUCAGGUACAUCAAAGAGGGACUUUGAUUUGCAAGAAGACUUUAAAACAUGAAUGCAUUUGGUAGUGUCCAUGGUAUCUCUGACUCUAGCCCUUCAAACCAAGUGAUAAACAUAAAAUGGUAAAAGUGGGAGAGAAGCUUAAAAAUCCUUUUUCUGUGGUGAUUAUUGCUAUGCUUUGGAUCCAGCUCUGCUCUUACCACUUCACAGUUGCACUGUAAGUCACUGUUGUCAUUUU